Molecule: ribosomal RNA, 497 nt
Filed under: uncultured bacterium
Lineage: Bacteria
Description: partial 16S ribosomal RNA
Rfam family: Bacterial small subunit ribosomal RNA
Source: RNAcentral
GAUGAACGCUGGCGGCGUGCCUAAUACAUGCAAGUCGAGCGAACGGACGAGAAGCUUGCUUUUCUGAUGUUAGCGGCGGACGGGUGAGUAACACGUGGAUAACCUACCUAUAAGACUGGGAUAACUUCGGGAAACCGGAGCUAAUACCGGAUAAUAUUUUGAACCGCAUGGUUCAAAAGUGAAAGACGGUCUUGCUGUCACUUAUAGAUGGAUCCGCGCUGCAUUAGCUAGUUGGUAAGGUAACGGCUUACCAAGGCAACGAUGCAUAGCCGACCUGAGAGGGUGAUCGGCCACACUGGAACUGAGACACGGUCCAGACUCCUAAGGGAGGCAGCAGUAGGGAAUCUUCCGCAAUGGGCGGAAGCCUGACGGAGCCACGCCGCGUGAGUGAUGAAGGUCUUCGGAUCGUAAAACUCUGUUAUUAGGGAAGAACAUAUGUGUAAGUAACUGUGCACAUCUUGACGGUACCUAAUCAGAAAGCCACGGCUAACUACGUG